UGCCAGCCGCCGCGGUAAUACGGAGGGUGCAAGCGUUGUUCGGAAUUACUGGGCGUAAAGCGCGCGUAGGCGGCUUCUUAAGUCAGAUGUGAAAGUCCACGGCUCAACCGUGGAAGUGCAUUUGAAACUGGGAGGCUUGAGUAUUGGAGGGGGUGGUGGAAUUCCCGGUGUAGAGGUGAAAUUCGUAGAUAUCGGGAGGAAUACCGGUGGCGAAGGCGACCACCUGGCCAAAUACUGACGCUGAGGUGCGAAAGCUAGGGGAGCGAACGGGAUUAGAUA
This 279-nucleotide ribosomal RNA is filed under the name uncultured bacterium. RNAcentral's name for it is "partial 16S ribosomal RNA". It matches the Rfam family "Bacterial small subunit ribosomal RNA", at positions 506 to 784 of the family's 1533-position model. The record is from RNAcentral.